RNAcentral lists this ribosomal RNA (16 nucleotides) under Cyclospora cayetanensis. RNAcentral's name for it is "partial small subunit ribosomal RNA". The record is from RNAcentral. Lineage: Eukaryota; Apicomplexa; Conoidasida; Eucoccidiorida; Eimeriidae.
GACAAAGUCCCAGCAG